Molecule: ribosomal RNA, 426 nt
Filed under: uncultured bacterium
Lineage: Bacteria
Description: bacterial SSU rRNA
Rfam family: Bacterial small subunit ribosomal RNA
Source: RNAcentral
GUCGGGAAUAUUGGGCAAUGGGCGAAAGCCUGACCCAGCAACGCCGCGUGAGCGAUGAAGGCCUUCGGGUCGUAAAGCUCUUUUCGGGGAGAUGAGGAAGGACAGUAUCCCCGGAAUAAGUCACGGCUAACUACGUGCCAGCAGCCGCGGUAAAACGUAGGUGGCGAGCGUUAUCCGGAUUCACUGGGCGUAAAGCGCGUUCAGGCGGCUCGACAAGUCGGGCAUGAAAUCUCUCGGCUCAACCGAGAGAGGCUGUUCGAUACUGUAGGGCUUGAGGGCAGUAGAGGGUGGUGGAAUUCCGGGUGUAGUGGUGAAAUGCGUAGAUAUCCGGAGGAACACCAGUGGCGAAGGCGGCCACCUGGACUGUACCUGACGCUCAAACGCGAAAGCUAGGGGAGCGAACGGGAUUAGAUACCCUUGUAGUCC